Cyprinus carpio carpio is the source of this 2953-nucleotide long non-coding RNA. NCBI's taxonomy places the organism in Eukaryota, Metazoa, Chordata, Actinopteri, Cypriniformes, Cyprinidae. The record is from Ensembl.
GUGAGCUGGAGAACGUCUUUCUCUGGCAGACCUUCUCGCGGUUGUAGGUUGGUUAGUCUCUUUUUCAACAGCAGUCACUUCUUGCAAUUGACCUUUCUCCAGGGCCAACAACUCCUUCUCUGCAGGAGCAACGACAACAUCAGCAGUCGGUACUACUGGAGUGCAUUUGUCCUGCUUAUUUCCUGUGGGUGGUACAGUUGCGAGCAUCUCAUCUGUACUGCGUGCUCUUACUUGGUCCACAUGCCUUUUCACAGUUUGUCCCUGUCCCAGAGUGGUCUUGUACGAAAGAGGUCCUGUGCAACUUUCCACUACUGCAGAAUUUUGUUCUUUACGUCAGGAAGAAGUAAGUCAAAUGCAGAUCUCAACUUCCGUGACAUUAACAUCUGAGCAGGUGACAACCUUGUUGUUGCAUGGGGUGUGAUUCUAUAAUUAAACAAGAAUCUUGCUACUCUUGUCUCCACUGUCUCACCUUUCAUCCUUUUCAUCCCCUCCUUGAAACUUUGAACAGCCCAUUCCGCUAAGCCAUUGGAAGACGGAUGAUAAGGAGCUGACAUCACGUGUUGAAUGCCAUUCUUUUCCAUGAAAGUUUCAAACUCUUGACUGGUUAAGCAUGGUCCAUUGUCUGAGACUACCAUUUUAGGUAAUCCAUGAGUACUGAAACACAUUCUCAGUUUCUCAAUGGUGACUUGUGAAGUAGCAUGCAUAGUUGGAUAAACUUCCAUCCACUUGGAAUGAGAAUCAACCAGUACUAGAUACAUCUUUCCCAUGAAGGGCCCUGCGUAGUCAAUUGCAGUCGUUCCCAGGGUGAGCCUGGCCACUCCCACGGGUGCAACGGAGAUUGAGCAGGUGCCUUUUUGAAACUUUGACAAACUUCACAGUUCUGCACAACUUUCUCCACAUCCUGGUCCAUACCAGGCCACCACAUGUAUGAAUGGGCCAAGCCUUUCAUUCUUGACAUACCGGAAUGGGUUUGAUGCAACUGUUUCAAUACAGCCGUUCGACCUUGUGAGGGUAUGAUAAUUCUUGCCCCCCAAAUCACACAUCCAUCCUUAACACUUAAAGAAUCUCUCCUAUAAUAGUAUGGUAACAGCGGUGACUCUACGUUUUCAGGCCAACCUGUUAAUAUGAAGUUAUGUACUGUGGAGAGUGUAAUGUCAUGGGAUGUCCAUUUUCGAAUUUGCACGGCAUUUACAGGCACGGCAUCCAUUAGAUCCAUCAUCAGCACUUGCUCAUUAGUGUCAUCCGGCUUUUCCUCACCUGGCAUUGGGAGUCUACUCAGAGCAUCAGCAUUUUGGUGAUACUUCCCAGGCUUAUAUACAAUAUUGUACUGAUAUGCCUGCAACAUCACAGCCCAUCUUUGCACUCUCGGUGACCCCAUUUGCGGAACUGCCUUCGUUUCAUUGAACAAAUUAACUAAGGGCUUAUGAUCAGUGCAAAUUGUGAAUGCCCGACCAUACAGGUACUUGUGAAAUCUUUGGAUGCCAAAAAUCACAGCCAGGCAUUCCUUGUCCAACUGUGAAUAACGCUUUUCGGCCGCUGUUAAUGUUCUUGACAUGAACCCAAGAGGCUUCUCCAUGCUCUCUCCCCUUUUCCGCUGUGAAAGCACUGCCCCAACCCCAUAGGAUGAGGCUCUUUCCACAUCCACUGAACAUCUUUUCUCAGUAGCAGAUGUAAGGGGGCUAGCAGCAUUGCCAGAUUUGGUAGGAACUUAUUAUAAUAGUUCAGCAACCCCAGGUACGCUUUAAGCUCUGUGAUAUUCUGUGGUUCCGGUGCUUCAUCAAUGGCUUUCACUUUAGUUCCUGUAGGAUGCAACCCUUCUGCAUCUACUCUGUGACCUAAAUAUUCCACCUCAUCUGCCAGGAACAUACACUUUCCCCGCUUCAGCCGCAACCCCGCUUCUUUCAGCCUUGCCAAUACUUCAGCAAGUGUUUUCAAGUGAUUGUCUUGGUUUACUCCAGUUACUAAUAUAUCAUCCAGAUAAACAACUACUCCAGGAAUCCCUUGCAACAAUCCCUCCAUUGUUCUCUGAAAGAUAGCAGGAGCUGAAGCAACUCCAAAUGGUAAACGAUUGUAUGUGAAUAACCCCUUGUGCGUAUUCACAGUCAAGUAUUUCUUGGAGUCCUCAUCCAUGAUAAUUUGUUGGUAUGCGUGACUCAUGUCCAGUUUUGUGAACUGCUUACCACCAUCCAGUCUAGCAAAAAGGUCCUCCACUCUUGGUAUUGGGUAUUGUUCAAGUUUUGACACUCUGUUUAUUGUAAGUUUGUAGUCACCGCACAACCUUAUACUUCCAUCUGGUUUCAAGAUAGGAACAACAGGAGCAGCCCACUCUGAAUACUUAACAGGUGAGAUGAUCUUGUCCCGCAGCAGACGAUCUAUCUCUUCCUCUACCUUUGUUUUUAAAGCAUAUGGCACUGAUCUAUGUCUGUAAAACUUAGGUGAGGCGUCAGUCGGCACAUGCAGAGUAGCAGUAGUGCCCUUUAAUGUUCCAAGCUCCUCUUUGAACACUUCCUCAUGCUUGGAUAGCACUUGCUGCAACGUCAUCUUUUCCAACUGAACCAGCUUUAUCUCACCCCAUUGCAGUUGAAUUUCUUCCAGCCAAGCUCUGCCUAGCAAACAUGGACCUGUUCCUUUUACUAUGACCAGGGGCAUUUCCUUUUCCUGCUGCUUAUAUUUUACAUGAACAUCUGCCACUCCCACUAUCUCCACUGGCUCUCCUGUAUAAGUUUUCAACUUGAUUUUUGAGGGUCUUAUUUUGGGAGCUUCUGAAUCUUUCCAGAUGUCCAUAAACAUUCCCUCAUUCAUUAGACUGACACUGCACCCUGUAUCAAUUUCGAAGUUCACAGGUUUGCCAUCAACCUGCAAUUUAACUGUAAGGGGUUUCACCUUCUUCAACACAUCACUCUUUAGACAAGCCAACGUGAAUGUUUCUUCAGAUUCAUCACUUUCGUUAUUU